AGCAGUAGCCGCGGUAAUACGAAGGGUGCAAGCGUUAAUCGGAAUUACUGGGCGUAAAGCGUGCGUAGGCGGUUUGUUAAGUCUGUUAUGAAAGCCCUGGGCUCAACCUGGGAAUUGCAGUGGAUACUGGGUCGCUAGAGUGUGGUAGAGGAUAGUGGAAUUUCCGGUGUAGCAGUGAAAUGCGUAGAGAUCGGAAGGAACAUCUGUGGCGAAGGCGACUAUCUGGGCCAACACUGACACUGAGGCACGAAAGCGUGGGGAGCAAACAGGAUUAGAUACCCCAGUAGUCCCUGUCUCUUAUAC
RNAcentral lists this ribosomal RNA (303 nucleotides) under uncultured bacterium. RNAcentral describes it as "partial 16S ribosomal RNA". It matches the Rfam family "Bacterial small subunit ribosomal RNA", at positions 507 to 807 of the family's 1533-position model. The record is from RNAcentral.